This 390-nucleotide ribosomal RNA is filed under the name uncultured bacterium. RNAcentral describes it as "bacterial SSU rRNA". It matches the Rfam family "Bacterial small subunit ribosomal RNA", at positions 28 to 428 of the family's 1533-position model. The record is from RNAcentral.
AAUCAACGCUGGCGGCGUGCUUAACACAUGCAAGUGGAGCGACGAACCAGGGCUUGCCCUGGGGCAAAGCCGCGAACGGGUGAGUAACACGUGGGUCACCUGCCUCGAUGACCGGGACAACCCGAGGAAACUCGGGCUAAUACCGGAUGUGCCCGCAAGGGGAAAGGAAGCUUCGGCCUCCGCAUCGAGAUGGGCCCGCGGCCCAUUAGCUUGUUGGUGAGGUAAAGGCUCACCAAGGCNCCGAUGGGUAGCUGGUCUGAGAGGACGAUCAGCCACACUGGGACUGAGACACGGCCCAGACUCCUACGGGAGGCAGCAGUGGGGAAUCUUGCGCAAUGGGCGGAAGCCUGACGCAGCGACGCCGCGUGAGGGAUGACGGCCUCGGUGUAA